CCUACGGGAGGCAGCAGUGGGGAAUAUUGGGCAAUGGGCGCAAGCCUGACCCCUCCCCUGCGCUUUCCUUCCUCCUUCUUUCUUUUUUUCCCCUUCUUUUCUCCUUGACGAAGCAAGUGACGGUACCUGAGGAAUAAGCCACGGCUAACUACGUGCCAGCAGCCGCGGUAAUACGUAGGUGGCAAGCGUUAUCCGGAUUUACUGGGUGUAAAGGGCGUGUAGGCGGGGACGCAAGUCAGAUGUGAAAACCACGGGCUCAACCUGUGGCCUGCAUUUGAAACUGUGUUUCUUGAGUACUGGGGAGGCAGACGGAAUUCCUAGUGUAGCGGUGAAAUGCGUAGAUAUUAGGAGGAACACCAGUGGCGAAGGCGGUCUGCUGGACAGCAACUGACGCUGAGGCGCGAAAGCGUGGGGAGCAAACAGGAUUAGAUACCCGAGUAGUC
Molecule: ribosomal RNA, 443 nt
Filed under: uncultured bacterium
Lineage: Bacteria
Description: partial 16S ribosomal RNA
Rfam family: Bacterial small subunit ribosomal RNA
Source: RNAcentral